AGAUUUCACUCACUGUCAUCUUUGUGGCCUCCUCUGGGUCUGCUCUACAGAUCCAUGUCAUUCUUGUGCUGAGGACUCCAGAUCUGGAUGCAGCAUUGCAGCUUUUCAUCCACAAGAAUUACCGAGUCCUUCUCUGCAAGGCUGCUCUCAAUGACUUCUUGUCUCAACAUCUGCUCACAUCUCUCCUUGCGUGACCCAGGUGCAGCACCUUGAACUUGGAUUUCUUGAACUUCAUGAGGUACUUGUAGGGCCCUGUAUCAAAUUUAUCCAGGAUCCUGGAUGGAAUAAUGUCCCUCUGUUUUGUCAACUGCAGCACUGAGCUUCAUGUAAUCUGCAUAUGUGCUGAGGUCUCACUGUCUAUGUCAGUGAUGAAGACACCGAAGAGCAGUGGACCCAAGACAGAGCCCUGAGGGAUGCUACACAUCACUGGCCUCCCCUCAGACAGAACCAUUGACCUCAACUUUGUCUCUGUCCAGAGAAUGUUUAGGAUGAAAUGAUCUUGUUUGAUUGAGUUAUUGAAGUGUACUAGCUACACACAAACAGCCAUUUUGAGCUCUUAAAUGUGUUUCAAGCUGUGUUUGGGGAUUUAUUUUUUAAUGUAACAGCUUUUAUAUGGGGGUUAAGGUAUAAAGUAAAUUUUGCAUGUUUACGUAACAGUGACAGAAAAAAAGUAAGAACUUUCAUAAUUUCUAAAGUGUUAUGACACCUGUAGUAUGCUUAGUACUUUCUGUAGAAACUGGGACCCUGAAAAGAACAAUUUUUAGUCCGUGGAUCCAGAUACAGUUCAUACCAAAUGGCUUGUUGUACCUGGGGAUUAAAUUUAAGACUUGCUCUGCU
Cyanistes caeruleus (blue tit) is the source of this 837-nucleotide non-coding RNA. NCBI's taxonomy places the organism in Eukaryota, Metazoa, Chordata, Aves, Passeriformes, Paridae. The record is from RefSeq and is a predicted model, not a curated record.